AAACAUGUCUUAAGGAUUAUAAUUUUAAGUCUGAUCUGCUCCAUGAAAUUUUUAAAUAGCUGCAGAAUUUUAACUGUACAAAGGUAGCAUAAUCAAUAGUUUUUUAAUUAAAAGCUGGAAUGAAUGAUUUGAUAAAGUAAUUUUUGUCUCAGAUUUAUUAAAAGUAAAAAUUUUUUUUUAGUAAAAAAACUAAAAUAAUUUUAAAAGACGAGAAGACCCUAUAGAUUUUUAUAUUUAGAUUAAAAAAAUAUUAAAAUUAUAAAAUAAAAUUUAUAAAAUAAAUAUUAGAUUGGGGAAAUUAUUAAAUUGAAUAAAUUUUAAUUUUAAUUAAACUUAAAUUAAAGAAUUUUUGAUCUUAAAAAUUUAAAUUAUAAGAAUAAAUUACCUUAGGGAUAACAGCGUAAUUUUUUUGGAGAGAUCUUAUUGAUAAAAAAGUUUGCGACCUCGAUGUUGAAUUAAGAUGAAAUAUUAAUGUAGAAAUUAAUAAGUUUUGGUCUGUUCGACCAUUAAAAUCUUACAUGAUCUGAGUUCAAACCGGAGA
RNAcentral lists this ribosomal RNA (541 nucleotides) under Lymeon cinctipes. Its description in RNAcentral is "partial 16S large subunit ribosomal RNA". The stretch from base 392 to 541 matches the Rfam family "Archaeal large subunit ribosomal RNA", at positions 2542 to 2691 of the family's 2987-position model. The record is from RNAcentral. Lineage: Eukaryota; Metazoa; Arthropoda; Insecta; Hymenoptera; Ichneumonidae.